GGGCAGUUAGCUCAGCGGUAGAGCAUCUCGUUUACACCGAGGAGGCCGCAGGUUCGAUCCCUGCACUGCCCACCA
This 75-nucleotide transfer RNA is filed under the name bacterium. RNAcentral describes it as "tRNA-Val". It matches the Rfam family "tRNA". Rfam says of the family: Transfer RNA (tRNA) molecules are approximately 80 nucleotides in length. The record is from RNAcentral.